ACCUGUCUGGCGCAUAAUGAACUUACCCCAUGGGAACGAUUAAAAUGUUGUGUAUACAAAUUAAAAAGGAUUAAGGGUUCUUGGUUAGAGAAGUUUGUUGAUAAGAUGAGAGCAAGUAAAUGUU
Long non-coding RNA from Haliotis rubra (blacklip abalone), 124 nucleotides. RefSeq lists it as uncharacterized. NCBI's taxonomy places the organism in Eukaryota, Metazoa, Mollusca, Gastropoda, Lepetellida, Haliotidae. The transcript is spliced from 2 exons. The record is from RefSeq and is a predicted model, not a curated record.